ACUCCUACGGGAGGCAGCAGUGGGGAAUAUUGCGCAAUGGGGGAAACCCUGACGCAGCGACGCCGCGUGAGCGAAGAAGGCCUUCGGGUCGUAAAGCUCUGUCAUCGGGGAAGAAGUCUCUUAGGCGAAUAGCAUAAGAGGUGACGGUACCCGAGGAG
This 158-nucleotide ribosomal RNA is filed under the name uncultured bacterium. RNAcentral describes it as "partial 16S ribosomal RNA". It matches the Rfam family "Bacterial small subunit ribosomal RNA", at positions 335 to 486 of the family's 1533-position model. The record is from RNAcentral.